AUUGCUGAGAUCUGUGACAGG
Molecule: unclassified non-coding RNA, 21 nt
Filed under: Mus musculus (house mouse)
Lineage: Eukaryota; Metazoa; Chordata; Mammalia; Rodentia; Muridae
Description: oocyte_clustered_small_RNA9346
Source: RNAcentral